This is a non-coding RNA of Bos taurus (domestic cattle), 57 nucleotides long. NCBI's taxonomy places the organism in Eukaryota, Metazoa, Chordata, Mammalia, Artiodactyla, Bovidae. The record is from Rfam.
UGGCUCAGAGGUUAAAGCAUCUGCCUGGAAUGCGGGAGACCCAGGUUCAAUCCCUGG